RNAcentral lists this ribosomal RNA (301 nucleotides) under uncultured bacterium. Its description in RNAcentral is "partial 16S ribosomal RNA". It matches the Rfam family "Bacterial small subunit ribosomal RNA", at positions 509 to 807 of the family's 1533-position model. The record is from RNAcentral.
CAGCAGCCACGGUAAUACGAAGGGGGCUAGCGUUGUUCGGAAUUACUGGGCGUAAAGGGCGGGUAGGCGGCCAUUCAAGUUAGAUGUGAAAGCCCUGGGCUCAACCUAGGAAUUGCAUUUGAUACUGUUUGGCUUGAGCUCGGGAGAGGUGAGUGGAAUUCCCAGUGUAGAGGUGAAAUUCGUAGAUAUUGGGAAGAACACCAGUGGCGAAGGCGGCUCACUGGACCGACACUGACGCUGAGGCGCGAAAGCGUGGGGAGCAAACAGGAUUAGAUACCCCGGUAGUCCCUGUCUCUUAUAC